CUAAAAACACAACAAAAUCCAACAGCUUUGAAGGAAUUUGAUUCACAGUUUUGAAAAAAAUUUCUUACUCUGAAACAAAAAUGGCUUCUGGCUGCAAAUGUGGUGACAAUUGCUCCUGUGGAGACAGCUGCAACUGCCAAUCUGGGACCAUCACAGAGGCCUCCCUGAAGAUGAGCGGGUGCAGCUGUGGGAGUAGCUGCUCCUGCGACCCAUGCAACUGCAAAUGAGCAAKGGGAGGGGUCGGAAAAAGCCCAAACAACAAAGCUUCUGGAUAGAAUAAAUUGAUGAAUCAAUCAACCUCUGUUGUUUUUUUUUUUCUCUUUUUUUCUUUCUUAAGAUUGCCAUUGAAACUGUAAGGCCAUUUUGAAUGGCUUUUUCAUGUGGCUUCUUGAAAUAUAGUGUGAACUAUGUACACUGCUUUGUUGUACUGGGUAGGGUUUGGUUUCAUCAAAGCUUCAAGUGUGUUUGAAUUUGUGGUUAAUGAAUGUUUGUUUUGUGUA
Long non-coding RNA from Momordica charantia (bitter melon), 500 nucleotides. RefSeq lists it as uncharacterized. NCBI's taxonomy places the organism in Eukaryota, Viridiplantae, Streptophyta, Magnoliopsida, Cucurbitales, Cucurbitaceae. The record is from RefSeq and is a predicted model, not a curated record.